CACAAAUGAAAAUUCUUAUUUCCAUGAAGUGCCUUUUCUGUGCUGGAAAAUUGUGCACAAGGGAGUUUGAAAACAAGGAUGUAUCUAGGUUUUUUGUUGUGGUGGUUGUUUUUGUUUUUAAUUUGUGCUUCCUCACCCGUUUUCUUUGCUGGCCCCCACAAUCUUGUAUGCCCCUUUUUUCUCUUUUACCAUCCCUGCUCAGGUCACAUAUCAAUCAGAAGUGAUUUUUCUAAGAUGCUAGAAACAUUCGCCACAUAAUAUUUUACCUAAUGGCUGCUCUACUUCUCAAGGUGUUUAGUUAGUGCUUUCAACCAUGAUAUCCUCAUUUUAGAAUUAGAGGUAGACACUCUGAGAUUAAAGGAUCAGACUUGGUUAAACACUGGAAACAAGUCAAGAGUGAGAUUACUGUGGGGUUUAAAAAGUUCUUAGUAAAGAUUAAAAAUUUCUUUGCCUGAAGUGUGCUUCUAGAUUAGGAUUACAGAUGAAAGUGUUUCUCUUGUUGUUACCCUGAGCAAGAACUAAUCAACCAUGAAGUUUUGAAGGGAGAGGGAAUUUAAAAAUGCCAGAAGUAGCUGCUUGUUCCAUAGGAUUUGGAGACUUUCCCAUCCAGUGGGAAAUUCACUGGCCUUAGGGUAAAAGAGUGGGUCCUGCUUUUGAUCCUGUGGGCUUUCUCAAGUCUCCCCUGCCAUCAGUUUUCUCAUUUUUAUUAUGGAGUAAUUGAGCUUAAUGUUCUUCAAGAUCAUCCUCUUACUUUGUAUUUUGAGGAUUCCUUUGAUAUGUGUAGCUUAGAAGGUGCUGGGUAUUGGUGCUAAUGUCUUGUAUCCUCAUCUCCUACUCUCAGCCCUGUUCCCUUCUAAGCCAAGAAUAAGCAUAUACCAUGCUUGUUAUUAUUCAGUACCCUCAUAGGUUCUGUCUUCCUCUUUACAACCUGCUAGAAGAAGACCAAAUCAGCAAAUAAGUAUAUUUUUACUGGAGUAAUC
Molecule: long non-coding RNA, 980 nt
Filed under: Marmota monax (woodchuck)
Lineage: Eukaryota; Metazoa; Chordata; Mammalia; Rodentia; Sciuridae
Source: RNAcentral